This 73-nucleotide transfer RNA is filed under the name Buchnera aphidicola str. APS (Acyrthosiphon pisum). RNAcentral's name for it is "tRNA-Asn (GTT)". It matches the Rfam family "tRNA". Rfam says of the family: Transfer RNA (tRNA) molecules are approximately 80 nucleotides in length. Their secondary structure includes four short double-helical elements and three loops (D, anti-codon, and T loops). RNAcentral also lists the same sequence under 2 other names. The record is from RNAcentral. Lineage: Bacteria; Pseudomonadati; Pseudomonadota; Gammaproteobacteria; Enterobacterales; Erwiniaceae.
CUCUGUAGUUCAGUUGGUAGAACGGCGGACUGUUAAUCCGUAUGUCACUGGUUCGAAUCCAGUCGGAGGAGAA